RNAcentral lists this ribosomal RNA (519 nucleotides) under uncultured bacterium. Its description in RNAcentral is "bacterial SSU rRNA". It matches the Rfam family "Bacterial small subunit ribosomal RNA", at positions 334 to 866 of the family's 1533-position model. The record is from RNAcentral.
CACNCNUGGGAGAGGCAGCAGUAGGGAAUANUGCGCAANAGNCANAAGUNUGACGCAAGACGCCGUGUGAGCGAUGAAGGUCUUCGGAUCGUAAAGCUCUGUCCUUGGGGAAGAAGGCGAAAGCUUGACGGUACCCAAGAAGAAAGCCCCGGCUAACUACGUGCCAGCAGCCGCGGUAAUACGUAGGGGGCGAGCGUUGUCCGGAAUUACUGGGCGUAAAGGGUGCGUAGGCGGCCCUUUAAGUCGGAUGUGAAAGCCCGCGGCUUAACCGCGGAAUGGCAUUCGAAACUGGAGGGCUUGAGUGUCGGAGAGGGUAGUGGAAUUCCCAGUGUAGCGGUGAAAUGCGUAGAUAUUGGGAGGAACACCAGUGGCGAAGGCGACUACCUGGACGAUAACUGACGCUGAGGCACGAAAGCUAGGGGAGCAAACAGGAUUAGAUACCCUGGUAGUCCUAGCCGUAAACGAUGGGUACUAGGUGUGGGUGGUUUCGAUACCAUCCGUGCUAGUUAACGCUAAGUC